RNAcentral lists this long non-coding RNA (215 nucleotides) under Lathyrus oleraceus (garden pea). RNAcentral's name for it is "Pisum sativum (pea) long non-coding RNA (PSAT_LNC002905)". The record is from RNAcentral. Lineage: Eukaryota; Viridiplantae; Streptophyta; Magnoliopsida; Fabales; Fabaceae.
GUAGGAAUCACUCUAUUUUAGACCGGUAAAUGAACUUUAUGCGUUUAACAGUUUCUGAAGUUAAAUUGAAUUUUUAACUCUGAAAUUGCAAAGCAUCUGAAAUCAAUAGGAUAAUUAAUCAAAGAAACUAUUCAAAAAUUAAAGUAAAUAAUCAAUUAACUAAUCAAUUAAAAUUACUAAUCAAACAAAUAACUAAUAUUUAAAUAAUUAAUUUA